This 310-nucleotide unclassified non-coding RNA is filed under the name plant metagenome. Its description in RNAcentral is "partial contains 5.8S ribosomal RNA, internal transcribed spacer 2, and large subunit ribosomal RNA". The stretch from base 1 to 105 matches the Rfam family "5.8S ribosomal RNA", at positions 50 to 154 of the family's 154-position model. The record is from RNAcentral.
GAAAUGCGAUAAGUAAUGUGAAUUACAGAAUUCAGUGAAUCAUCGAAUCUUUGAACGCACAUUGCGCCCGCCAGCAUUCUGGCGGGCAUGCCUGUUCGAGCGUCAUUUCAACCCUCGAGCCCCCCCGGGGGCCUCGGUGUUGGGGGACGGCACACCAGCCGCCCCCGAAAUGCAGUGGCGACCCCGCCGCAGCCUCCCCUGCGUAGUAGCACACACCUCGCACCGGAGCGCGGAGGCGGUCACGCCGUAAAACGCCCAACUUUCUUAGAGUUGACCUCGGAUCAGGUAGGAAUACCCGCUGAACUUAAGC